ACGCUCGACACCUACGGGAGGCAGCAGUGGGGAAUAUUGGGCAAUGGGGGAAACCCUGACCCAGCAACGCCGCGUGAAGGAAGAAGGCCCUCGGGUUGUAAACUUCUUUUACCAGGGACGAAGGAAGUGACGGUACCUGGAGAAAAAGCCACGGCUAACUACGUGCCCGCAGCCGCGGUAAUCUGAGCGGGCUGGCAAGGC
Molecule: ribosomal RNA, 201 nt
Filed under: uncultured bacterium
Lineage: Bacteria
Description: partial 16S ribosomal RNA
Rfam family: Bacterial small subunit ribosomal RNA
Source: RNAcentral